Molecule: small nuclear RNA, 22 nt
Filed under: Arabidopsis thaliana (thale cress)
Lineage: Eukaryota; Viridiplantae; Streptophyta; Magnoliopsida; Brassicales; Brassicaceae
Description: snRNA_01535
Source: RNAcentral
UAUAAUUCAGAGUCAUAUCAUU